UACGUAGGGUGCAAGCGUUAAUCGGAAUUACUGGGCGUAAAGCGUGCGCAGGCGGUUAUGCAAGACAGAUGUGAAAUCUCCGGGCUCAACCUGGGAACUGCAUUUGUGACUGCAUGGCUGGAGUGCGGCAGAGGGGGAUGGAAUUCCGCGUGUAGCAGUGAAAUGCGUAGAUAUGCGGAGGAACACCGAUGGCGAAGGCAAUCCCCUGGGCCUGCACUGACGCCCAUGCACGAAAGCGUGGGGAGCAAACAGG
Molecule: ribosomal RNA, 253 nt
Filed under: uncultured bacterium
Lineage: Bacteria
Description: partial 16S ribosomal RNA
Rfam family: Bacterial small subunit ribosomal RNA
Source: RNAcentral